GCCCGGCUCGCAGCCCUCCGGUCCCCGCUGCCUAACCGCAGCAACCGCUCACCCGUGCUGCGCCUCCUCUCCCACCUCCCAGCCCUGCGGAACGCUGCACAGCUGAGAUGAGUGGAUGUGCUGGCUGGGAGGAUCCCUUGCCUGCAAUACCUGGUGGAAGGACUUGCCAUGGGACAUUGCCAUGAAUCUCAUGUUGGUCAUAAGAUGAUUCAGGAAAGCUCAGAGUUUCCCAAAGACCAAAAUGAUUGUACACAGGGCAGGACCUGACAUCUCGGGCUAAUGAAGGACGGUCAGUCGCAUUUUGUCCAUCACCUCCGAUGGACUUCAGGGAAGCCUCGGGAGCACUGUGAAUUCUUAGAGGAGCUGUGCAAAAACCGCGCUUAAGCUUUAACUCCACCUUAGAGUUCCCAUCCAGGGAAGGGAGCCAAAGAUAACUGCCUCUUCCAAAGAAAGAUCUUCUGGAGUCUACAUCACCCCUGAUGUUUUGAAAUUUCCAGUGGACCACAUCAGUCAUGGUGGAGUGAGAAGCAGCAUUCACGCUCAACCUUUCCUCAAGAGGUACAGCACCCUGUGUUGCGGAUACCAUUUGUUUCAAAAAUCCCACAUAUGUUA
This is a long non-coding RNA of Pseudopodoces humilis (Tibetan ground-tit), 612 nucleotides long. RefSeq lists it as uncharacterized. Lineage: Eukaryota; Metazoa; Chordata; Aves; Passeriformes; Paridae. The record is from RefSeq and is a predicted model, not a curated record.